This 508-nucleotide ribosomal RNA is filed under the name uncultured bacterium. RNAcentral describes it as "partial 16S ribosomal RNA". It matches the Rfam family "Bacterial small subunit ribosomal RNA", at positions 28 to 523 of the family's 1533-position model. The record is from RNAcentral.
GAUGAACGCUAGCUACAGGCUUAACACAUGCAAGUCGAGGGGAAACGAUAGAGAAAGCUUGCUUUUUCUAGGCGUCGACCGGCGCACGGGUGAGUAACGCGUAUCCAACCUGCCCACCACUUGGGGAUAACCUUGCGAAAGUAAGACUAAUACCCAAUGAUAUCUCUAGAAGACGUCUGAAAGGGAUUAAAGAUUUAUCGGUGAUGGAUGGGGAUGCGUCUGAUUAGCUUGUUGGCGGGGUAACGGCCCACCAAGGCUACGAUCAGUAGGGGUUCUGAGAGGAAGGUCCCCCACAUUGGAACUGAGACACGGUCCAAACUCCUACGGGAGGCAGCAGUGAGGAAUAUUGGUCAAUGGACGAGAGUCUGAACCAGCCAAGUAGCGUGCAGGAUGACGGCCCUAUGGGUUGUAAACUGCUUUUAUAAGGGAAUAAAGUGAGUCUCGUGAGACUUUUUGCAUGUACCUUAUGAAUAAGGACCGGCUAAUUCCGUGCCAGCAGCCGCCGUAA